This 550-nucleotide small RNA is filed under the name Pan troglodytes (chimpanzee). Its description in RNAcentral is "retained intron". Lineage: Eukaryota; Metazoa; Chordata; Mammalia; Primates; Hominidae. The record is from RNAcentral.
AGCUCGCUUCAAGAUGGCCGCUUGGCUCGCAUUCAUUUUCUGCUGAACGACUUUUAACUUUCAUUGUCUUUUCCGCCCGCUUCGAUCGCCUCGCGCCGGCUGCUCUUUCCGGGAUUUUUUAUCAAGCAGAAAUGCAUCGAACAACGAGAAUCAAGAUCACUGAGCUAAAUCCCCACCUGAUGUGUGUGCUUUGUGGAGGGUACUUCAUUGAUGCCACAACCAUAAUAGAAUGUCUACAUUCCUUCUGUAAAACGUGUAUUGUUCGUUACCUGGAGACCAGCAAGUAUUGUCCUAUUUGUGAUGUCCAAGUUCACAAAACCAGACCACUACUGAAUAUAAGGUCAGAUAAAACUCUCCAAGAUAUCGUAUACAAAUUAGUUCCAGGGCUUUUCAAAAGUGAGUAACUUGCUUAGAAAAUGAAUUUAAAGAGAUUAUUCAUUAGUUCUUUGUGUUAUGCCAAAUGUUUACAUCUUUUUUCCCCAUUCAGAUGAAAUGAAGAGAAGAAGGGAUUUUUAUGCAGCUCAUCCUUCUGCUGAUGGUAAACCUUUUA